This 366-nucleotide unclassified non-coding RNA is filed under the name uncultured bacterium. RNAcentral's name for it is "contains 16S-23S intergenic spacer region". The record is from RNAcentral.
UCCUCCUUGUAUGGAGGCAGUUCGGCCAGAGUGAUACAACUGACCGUAGGGGUUGCGCUCGUUAUGGGACUUAACCCGACAUCUCACGACACGAGCUGACGACAGCCAUGCAGCAUCUGUGUAGAACCCUCGAAGGCGGCCGGUGUUUCCACCAGCUUGCAUCUACAUGUCAAACCUGGGUGAGGUUUUUCGCUUUGUAACGAAUUAAACCACACGCUCCACUGCUUGUGCAGGUCCCCGUCAAUUCCUUUGAGUUUUAGCCUUGCGGCCGUACUCCCCAGGCGGGAUGCUUAACGCGUUAGCUUAAGACACUGAAGGGGUCAAUACCUCCAAUAUCUAGCAUCCAUCGUUUACGGCGUAGACUAC